AUUGAACGCUGGAGGUAUGCUUAACACAUGCAAGUCGAACGCGAACGUUUCUUCGGAAACAAGUAGAGUGGCGGACGGGUGAGUAACGCGUAGGAAUCUACCUAUUAGUGGGGGAUAACAUGGAGAAAUUCAUGCUAAUACCGCAUAUGCCCUACGGGGUAAAGAGGGCCUCUUCUUGAAAGCUCUUGCUAGUAGAUGAGCCUGCGUCGGAUUAGCUUGUUGGUGGGGUAAUGGCCUACCAAGGCGACGAUCCGUAGCUGGUCUGAGAGGAUGAUCAGCCACACUGGGACUGAGACACGGCCCAGACUCCUACGGGAGGCAGCAGUGGGGAAUAUUGGACAAUGGGCGCAAGCCUGAUCCAGCAAUACCUCGUGUGUGAAGAAGGCCUUAGGGUUGUAAAGCACUUUCAAUUGGGACGAAGAGUGGUAACUUAAUACGUUGCUACUUUGACGGUACCUUUAGAAGAAGCACCGGCUAACUCCG
RNAcentral lists this ribosomal RNA (483 nucleotides) under uncultured Gammaproteobacteria bacterium. RNAcentral's name for it is "bacterial SSU rRNA". It matches the Rfam family "Bacterial small subunit ribosomal RNA", at positions 30 to 505 of the family's 1533-position model. Lineage: Bacteria; Pseudomonadati; Pseudomonadota; Gammaproteobacteria. The record is from RNAcentral.